Dromaius novaehollandiae (emu) is the source of this 1457-nucleotide long non-coding RNA. RefSeq lists it as uncharacterized. The transcript is spliced from 3 exons. NCBI's taxonomy places the organism in Eukaryota, Metazoa, Chordata, Aves, Casuariiformes, Dromaiidae. The record is from RefSeq and is a predicted model, not a curated record.
CACGAGGAGCACCGCAACCCGGGCGUCAGGCAGCAGAAGACAGAAAUGGCUCGGAAGAGGUCCUUUGGCUGCCGGGAGGCAGGAUUUAAAGACAAAACGGUCCCUUUUGGUAUUUAGAAAGUGUCGUAGACUAGACAGCCAAAAGGCUCUUCAAAGGCAUUCCCGCAGAAGCGGGCAGACCUCUGCCUGUGGCAUCUCCUGCCCCUCGGAGAGGAAAGGGGACUACGCACCUUCUGCGGCCACCGCGGAGGCACCAGGGCAGAGCUCGGGCAGGCUUCGGGGGGUUCAGCACCAGAGAGCAUCGCUUCGCGGGACCAAAGACACCAAGGCACACUAUUACAGAUUUCACUGGAUAUUGCCUUAGGCUUCCAAAGCCUUCACUGAGCAAGACUACUCUGUGCCACUGAAAUGCCACCUUCCAGCCAGCCAAGUAUUCACCCAAGAGCAAAGGCCUUUUUCACAGCACUGCAAUCUCCUUUGAACAAACCAUGUACAAAGUUUCCGGCUUCUGCACACGCACCUACCCCACCUCGUCUGACUCCAGGCUUUGGCUUCUCCCCAGGUGUGGUUUCAGUGCCUCAGACCUGGAGUGCAUCCAUGACUACCAGCUUUAUCUUCACAAAGAGAAGCUGCUAAUGAGCAAGCAAGUGCCAAAUGGGCAGCUUUCCAGAAGAGCUGCCUGGCACGUUGGACAGCUCGGAGUGCUGUUUCUGCAACAGACGGCAUUCAGAUUAUUUGCUGUGGAGCCAAUGCUGAAACAAUUGUGCAGAAACUGGCUUAAAAGAUAAGGAACAUUCCGAAAAGAAGGAACAUUCAACACAAGCCAGGACAAGAAGGGCUUCUUGGUCUCAUCUGUGUUGACAUAACUGUUCUGCCAGUGGUGGGAAUCUGUGGAUAGACACCACUAAUGAGCUGGUGAAGAUCUAUUCUGGGGAAGAUGAACAAGCCCUAAGACACUACAGACUGACUCAAGAUGACAAACUUGGCACGUACGAGUACUGGAAGAGCUAAGUCAUGUCCACAUCAAGAUUUAUGGGAACGCCAAGCAGAGAUGAGUUAGCAUUUACCCAGGUCUCCAUGUAAAGUCAGUCUAGUGAUCACCACAAACUCUUUUGACAAAGAAAUUAUAUUUUUUUCCAUUGCUGAAAAAGCUGUUUUGGCAUCUCUAUGUAUUUGUACUUUCCUGGGCUGCCGGCAGGUCAGCCCGGCAGGCACUGGCUGCAUAAGCCAGGGCAAAAGCACGACAGCACCCUGGCACAAGCUGCCAGGUCCCACCGGUGGUUCAAAUCGUGGCCCGUAGGCACCUCAAACACCCCAUCUCCUCCAGGGCUUUCAGAUAUGCCUUUGGACAUGGUCAGAUUAAUACACAGCACUGCUCUUUUCUCUUCUCACAGGAAUAAGCACAAAGAGCUGCCAGAGAGAACCACUUACCCUGUACAGCAUCGAGCUCUGCUGGU